RNAcentral lists this ribosomal RNA (3100 nucleotides) under Saccharum spontaneum (wild sugarcane). Its description in RNAcentral is "bacterial LSU rRNA". It matches the Rfam family "Bacterial large subunit ribosomal RNA". The record is from RNAcentral. Lineage: Eukaryota; Viridiplantae; Streptophyta; Magnoliopsida; Poales; Poaceae.
GCAAGGGCAUACGGUGGAUGCCUUGGGAACCCAAGAGCGCAGAAGGACGUAGGAGACUGCGAUAAGCCUCGAGGAGCUGUCAACCAGCUAGAUUUGCGAGGAUUUCCGAAUGGGGAAACCCAGUCAUGAUAAAGUCUGAUUACCCCCUCCGCCUUAAAAUAGGGCGGUGGAGGAAACGCGGGAAGUGAAACAUCUCAGUACCCGCAGGAAGAGAAACAACCGUGAUUCCGAGAGUAGUGGCGAGCGAAAUCGGAAGAGGCCACCCUCGUACUCUGAAUAGCAGUUAAGCGUUGCGUGCGAGGGGGUUGUGGGAUCGGACAUGUCAUUUUUCCUCAAUGGCCGCAUCAAAAAACAUAGUGUUGUGGAAGCGAUUUGGAACGGUCCAUCACAGAGGGUGAGAAUCCCGUACACGAAACUCUAUUUCUGUUGUGUCAGACACCCAAGUAGCAGCGGGCCGUGAAAUCUGCUGUGAAUCUGCCUGACCACCCGGUAAGCCUAAAUACUCCUGUCACCGAUAGCGCAAUACCGUGAGUGAAAGGUGGAAAGUUACCCCGAGAGGGGGUAAAUAGACCUGAACGCGUGUGCCUACAAUCCGUCAGAGCCGCAAGGUGAUGGCGUGGCCUUUUCAGAAUGAGCCUGCGAGUUAGCGGCAUGUGGCAAGGUUAACCCGGAGAGGGGCAGCCGUAAGCGAAAGCGAGUCCGAAUAGGGCGUUUGAGUCGCAUGUUCUAGACCCGAAGCGGAGUGAUCUAACCCUGGGCAGGGUGAGGCGAGGGUAAGACCUCGUGAGGCCCGAACCCACUUCGUUGAAAAUGGAGGGGAUGACCUGUGGGGUAGGGGUGAAAGGCCAUCAAACCCGUGGAUAUCUGUUCUCCCCGAAAUGCAUUUAGGUGCAGCGUCGCGCUUUUCUUGCCGGAGUAGAGCUCUGGAUGGUCCUAGGGGGAGGGGCCCACAACUGACCGAAAUCAGCCAAACUCCGAAUGCCGGUAAGUGAGAGCGCGGCAGUGAGACUGCGGGGCGAUAAGGGUGUCGCUCAGUUCGAGAGGGAAACAGCCCAGAUCGCCGACUAAGGCCCCUAAGAGUGUGCUAAGUGGAAAAGGAUGUGGAUUCGUCAUAGACAACCAGGAGGUUGGCUUGGAGCAGCCACCCUUCAAGAGGCUAUGCUCCUGGUCAAUGAUUCCGGCGCCGACAAUGUAUCGGGGCUCAAGCAGAUAAACCGCCGACGUGCGCCGGUCAUUCGUACAUCGUACGGAGGGUAGGGGAGCGUCGAAUAGCCUUUGAGCUGCGGAUUAUCCGUGGGGAGUCUAUUCGAGUGAGAAUGCAGGCAUGAGUCGCGAAAGCAAUGUGAGAAACAUUGCCACCGUAUGACGAGUUUUUUUUUCGGCUGGGCCAGUUAAUAUCCGCCCAGGGUUAGUCGGGACCUAAGGCGAGGCCGACAGGCGUAGUCGAUGACCCGGGUAGAUAUUCCCGUACCGGCGUGAACGCGCCCAGGUGAAUCAGUGAUACUAAAACUAUCCCAAAGCGUGCGCUCCUUUCGGAGCAAUCGUGGCGGCAUGGGACCUGAUCUGGUAGUAGCCAAGCGAUGGGGUGACGCAGGAAGAUAGCGGAUCCAGUGAAUGGUAGUACUGGUGUAAGCCCGGGCCCGUGGGUAUAGGCAAAUCCGUACCACACAAGGGUGAGAGGUGAUGCAUAGCCGAUGAGGCGAAUUCCGUGAUUCUAAUGCUGCCAGAAAAGCCUCUAGCGAGCUUUCACGCCGCCCCGUACCCCCAAACCGACACAGGUAGUCAGGUAGGCGUCAUCCAAAUGUGUCGAAGAUAACCGUGGUUUAAGGACUCGGCAAAUACCCCCGUAACUUCGGGAAAGGGGGCAUGUUUGGUGACCAACUUUGCUUGGCGAGCUGAAUGUGGCCGCAGAGACCAGGGAGAAAGCGUCUGUUUUACUAAAACACAGGUCCGUGCGAAGUCGUAAGACGAUGUAUACGGACUGACCCUGCCCGGUGCUGGAAGUUAAUAUGACCGGUUUAGCCGCAAGGCGAAGCUGAGAAUUGAAGCCCCAAGUAAACGGCGGUGGUAAAACUCUAACCAUCUAAGGUAAGCGAACUUCCUUGUCGGUAAGUUCCGACCUGCACAAUGGCGUCACGACUUCUCUAACUGUCUCAACCACGGACUCGGGGCGAAUUGCACUACGAGUAAAGAUGCUCGUUAAACACGCGCCGGCGAGGACGAAUAUACCCCGGGACCUUCACUAUAGCUUGGUAUUGGUGUUUGGUUCGAUUAUGUGUAGGCUGUUGGGAGAAAACUAGUGAGCAGGGACGCCAGUAUCUUGUGGAUGUCAACGUUUGAACUACCACUCUUAUCUUGACAUUUGCCCUCUCUCAACAUACUGUGAAGGCAGCACGAAAGGAAGAGAUGCAGGACCGUGAUCCGGUUCAGGAACAGUGCCUGGUGGGUAGUUUAACUGGGCGGUUGCUCCCAAAAUGUAACGGAGGCGCCCUAAAGGUUCCCUCAGCCUGGUUGGCAAUCAGGUGUUGAGUGUAAGUGCACAGGGCGCUUGACUGUGAGAGUGACAUCUGACAGGGACGAAAGUCGGGACUAGUGAUCCGGCACCGGCAAGUGGAAGCGGUGUCGCUCAACGGAUAAAAGGUACCCCGGGGAUAACAGGUGAUCAGCGCCCCAAGGAGUCCAUAUCGCGGGAUGGUUUGGCACCUCGAUGUCGGCUCGUCGCAUCCUGGGGUCGUAGUAGUUCCCAAGGGUUGGCUGUUCGCCCAUUAAAGCGGCACGCGGAGACUGGGUUUAGAAAGUCGUGAGGACAGUUCGGUAUUAUCCGCCGCGCGCGUUAAGAAACUUGAGCAAGGUGUCCAUAGUACGAGAGGACGGGAGGACGACCUCUGUGUGCCAGUUUUCUGCCAAGAGAAUGCUGGUUAAGCACGGUUCGGAAUGGAUAACGCUGAAAGCAUCUAAGCGGGAAGCCAGUCAUAGAUGCGGUUUCUCACCACCAUGCUGGGUAAGGCCCCAGGACGAUCAUCGGGUUUGAUAGGCCGGAACUGGAAGUGUAGUAACAUAAAUGCAGGUGACCGGUACUAAUAGGCCGAGGGCUUUACUA